This is a small nuclear RNA of Mastomys coucha (southern multimammate mouse), 163 nucleotides long. RefSeq annotates it as U1 spliceosomal RNA. Lineage: Eukaryota; Metazoa; Chordata; Mammalia; Rodentia; Muridae. The record is from RefSeq and is a predicted model, not a curated record. The transcript has a single exon.
AUACUUACCUGGCAGGGGAGAUACCAUGAUAACAAAAGUGGUUUUCCUGGGCGAGGCUUAUCCAUUGCACUCCGGAUGUACUGACCCCUAUGAUUUCCCCAAAUGUAGGAAACUCGACUGCAUAAUCUGUGGUAGUGGGGGACUGUGUUCACUCUCUCCCCUA